CAUGUUUGACAGUGAUGUAAAUGGAACAGCUAUUAUGAAAAACGUGCUUAUAGUUUAGCCAAAGAAAAUAUGUAAGGGUAACAUUGUAGGAGGGUGGAGUGUAAACAUAUGAAGAGUCUGGAACCCUGAUGGCAUCAUUAAAUGCUCAAACCAAUGCUGGAAGCUGUCAUCCUCAGAUUUCUUAUGAGAAAAAUGAAUUCCUGUUUAUUUUAGCCCCUGUUUUUUGGGUUGUCUGGGCCUGCACUUGCAAGCAUUUCUGCUGGAUGCAGCAGGUCCCAGGAGGCCCUUUCAGACCUAGGGCAUUUGGUUGCCUUUCCCACUCUGUGCCUUUGCUUAUUUCUUUUUUUUUUUUUUUUUUUUUUUUUUUUUUGACAGAGUUUCACUCUUGUUGCCCAGGCUGGAGUGCAAUGCCGUGAUCUUGGCUCACCGCAACCUCUGCCUCCCAAGUUCAAGCGAUUCUCCUGCCUCAGCCUCCUAAGUAGCUGGGAUUACAGGCAUGUGCCACCAUGCCCGACUAAUUUUGUAUUUUUAGUAGAGAUGGGGCUUCUCCAUGUUGGUCAGGCUGGUCUCGAACUCCUAACCUCAGGUGAUCCGCCCGCCUCAGCCUCUCAAAGUGCUGGUAUUACAGGUGUGAGGCACCACACCCGGCCAUCUUUGCUUAUUUCCUUUUUUUUCUUUUCUUUUCUUUUCUUUUUUUUUUGAGACAGGGUCUCAUUCUGUCUACCAGACUGGAGUGCAGUGGCAUGAUCUCGGUUCACUGCAACCUCUGCUUCCCUGGUUCAAGUGAUUCUCCUGCCUCAGCCUCCCCAGUAGCUGGGAUUACAGACACGUGCCACCACACCUGGCGAAUUUUUUGUAUUUUUAGUAGAGACAAGGUUACACCAUGUUGAACAGGCUGAUCUCGAACUCCUGACCUCAAGUGAUCCACCUGCCUUGGUCCCCCAAAGUGCUGGGAUUACAGGCAUGAGCCACUGCACCUGGCUGCUUAUUUCUUACGGGAUCUCUCCAGUUUAGAGCAGAGGUUCUCAACACAGC
RNAcentral lists this long non-coding RNA (1035 nucleotides) under Homo sapiens (human). Its description in RNAcentral is "HSALNT0333794". The record is from RNAcentral. Lineage: Eukaryota; Metazoa; Chordata; Mammalia; Primates; Hominidae.